This 68-nucleotide ribosomal RNA is filed under the name uncultured Prochlorococcus sp. Its description in RNAcentral is "partial 16S ribosomal RNA". It matches the Rfam family "Bacterial small subunit ribosomal RNA", at positions 1466 to 1533 of the family's 1533-position model. The record is from RNAcentral. Lineage: Bacteria; Bacillati; Cyanobacteriota; Cyanophyceae; Synechococcales; Prochlorococcaceae.
GGCUGAUGACUGGGGUGAAGUCGUAACAAGGUAGCCGUACCGGAAGGUGCGGCUGGAUCACCUCCUAA